UAAAUUACCUGGCAGGGGCAAUACCAUGAUCACAAAGGUAGUUUGCCCAGGGGAGGCUUACCGCUGCACUUCAGAUGUAGUGGCCCCUGCAGCUCCUCCAAAUGUGAUAAUGGGCUGUCUCUUGUAC
RNAcentral lists this small nuclear RNA (127 nucleotides) under Microtus ochrogaster (prairie vole). RNAcentral describes it as "U1 spliceosomal RNA (ENSMOCG00000004526.1)". It matches the Rfam family "U1 spliceosomal RNA". From Rfam's summary of the family: U1 is a small nuclear RNA (snRNA) component of the spliceosome (involved in pre-mRNA splicing). Its 5' end forms complementary base pairs with the 5' splice junction, thus defining the 5' donor site of an intron. There are significant differences in sequence and secondary structure between metazoan and yeast U1 snRNAs, the latter being much longer (568 nucleotides as compared to 164 nucleotides in human). Lineage: Eukaryota; Metazoa; Chordata; Mammalia; Rodentia; Cricetidae. The record is from RNAcentral.